CCCUUGACAUACCGGUCGCGGACACAGAGAUGUGUCUUUCAGUUCGGCUGGACCGGAUACAGGUGCUGCAUGGCUGUCGUCAGCUCGUGUCGUGAGAUGUUGGGUUAAGUCCCGCAACGAGCGCAACCCUCGCCUUAGUUGCCAGCAUUUAGUUGGGCACUCUAAGGGGGCUGCCGGUGAUAAGCCGAGAGGAAGGUGGGGAUGACGUCAAGUCCUCAUGGCCCUUACGGGCUGGGCUACACACGUGCUACAAUGGUGGUGACAGUGGGCAGCGAGCACGCGAGUGUGAGCUAAUCUCCAAAAGCCAUCUCAGUUCGGAUUGCAGUCUGCAACUCGACUGCGUGAAGUCGGAAUCGCUAGUAAUCGUGAAUCAGAAUGUCACGGUGAAUACGUUCCCGGGCCUU
RNAcentral lists this ribosomal RNA (404 nucleotides) under uncultured Ochrobactrum sp. Its description in RNAcentral is "bacterial SSU rRNA". It matches the Rfam family "Bacterial small subunit ribosomal RNA", at positions 978 to 1382 of the family's 1533-position model. The record is from RNAcentral. Lineage: Bacteria; Pseudomonadati; Pseudomonadota; Alphaproteobacteria; Hyphomicrobiales; Brucellaceae.